This is a long non-coding RNA of Danaus plexippus (monarch butterfly), 574 nucleotides long. RefSeq lists it as uncharacterized. The transcript has 3 exons. Lineage: Eukaryota; Metazoa; Arthropoda; Insecta; Lepidoptera; Nymphalidae. The record is from RefSeq and is a predicted model, not a curated record.
AGUAUUAAUUUUAGACGUCGUUUUAUACAAAAUUUGAUAAAUUAAUUGCUAAUAAAUAGACGAGGAAAUUUAUGAUAAAUGCGUCCUUCAUACAAAAAACUGCACAAAAAGUCUAAAGCUGAACCGAGGAAAAAGAAUCCGCCGUUUAAUGGCCGAUAUUUAGGUUUUACCCAAGGAAUCACUAUUUCCGAUUUGGAAAACAUAAAUCGUGUUCUUUAUCUACGCAAAUCAACGUUAGCGGAAGGCAAAGGAUCUUGGAAGGUAGUGCCAAAAGAUUCAUGCGAAGUAUAUAAGAAUCGUAGACGUCGUCAGAUGGCUAUCCAGAAAAGAAAUAUCAAAACUAAUGAAAAAUGUCGAUGUAAAAAUCGACGAUCUCGCAACAAUUCAUCGCAGUAUUCAUAUUCUUGUGACAGCCGAACUGAAACGUCUUCUUCCACAGAUGAUAAUUAAUUUAUUAUAUAUUAUACAUUUAUUGUUUCUUAUCUCGCAAUGAUUAUUUAAUAUUUGAUUUUUUUUUUUAAUUUGUUUCCUCUUAAAACUUUCUUAUAAAAUAAAUCGUUAUAUAUAAUGAGAA